Molecule: long non-coding RNA, 1621 nt
Organism: Trifolium pratense (red clover)
Lineage: Eukaryota; Viridiplantae; Streptophyta; Magnoliopsida; Fabales; Fabaceae
Exons: 2
Source: RefSeq, a predicted model, not a curated record
UUCAAAACUCGCACAGGCUAAUUUGUGAAAAGAACAGAAAAACUCAUUCUUCUGCUUGCUACGGUAAUAUUCUCGAUGGGUCGCUGAAAGAUCAAGAAACUAGUAUGCUCAAUCUAUGCCGAUAAUCUCUUAUGUUUGCUAUGCUACAGUAUGAAGUGAUUUUGCAAAGGCAAAAGAAAGUGUUUCCUUGUAUUUGAUUGGCCCACUGAUAUGGGUUUCAAAGGAAUUCUCUAAGGAAGAAAUGAAUCAACUGAAGCAAAGUAUAAAGAAACCAACUCCUUGGAGUCCUCUGUGAUAUUUAUACUGUAUUGCAUCUCUUACUCUGAUCAUCUGUACUAUUCAAAUUUUUAUAUGUUUUUCAAUUCAAUAAGGCAUGAGAUGAUGGGCAGAUGCAUAGGGAAUUUGCAAUGAAGGCAGCUGCCCAUCCCAAAGUUGCAAUUGUAAUCCUGUAAUCAUUACUUUCAUUAUGAGUUGUCGCGAUUUUUCUACAUUUCAUGAUGCUUUUCUUCAUCUUAGUUUUCCUCAGUAUAGCUCGCCAGUGUGCCCCACUUGGUUGAAGACUAGGGAAAUGCUUGGCUUCCCCCUUGGUUUCAUCUCAGAACCUGAUCAGUCUGUAUUGCCAAAGGAUGUUUUGAUGGCUGCAUGUGAGAAGGUUAGUUUGCAUAAAUAGGUCACUGGUAAUCACCUUAUCUUGCGUAAAAAUUUGGUUCUACUAAUAUUUUGGAAACACUUAUGCUGAUCAGAUAAAUAGUUUUAUCUCAAUUUUAUCUUGAUUCAUUCACUGUUCCUUCAUUUUUGGGUUACAUGUCAGCGAUAUAGAUAUAAAUGCUUGGCCCUUCAUCUUUAGUUUAAGUUUAUAGGGAAGUUGGUACUGGUCCUUCGCAUGCUAUUAGAGCCUUUAUGAUGAUAUGGUUUGGAGUUUACUCCUUGCGUGCACUCUUCCUAAUCAAUUUAUGCACAAAAUUAGUGAGGUUUAUUUCCAUUAGAUAUUAAAAAAACUUUGGGAUUUCACCUAAUAACUUAAGAUUUGAAUCAAUACUAUGAAUAAACACAUAUUUAUUACAAAAUUCGGCUUCAACGAAAAAUGCAGUUUUUUGUGGCUUGUUUCUAGCGAUGUCUAAGUAAUGGCUGCCUGAUUGGAAACCAUUGGUGUGAUAUCAAUGGAGAUUUGAUUAGAAUAUUGAGUAGACAUUGGACGAGUUGUCUCUAUCGGUGUCUUUUGAAGCAACUGCAAAAUAGUUUUGAUCCUACAAGCUCGUCAAGAAGCAAUUGUCUCGGUGUCUUAUUUUCUAUUCAAAAAAAUUAUCAAUUUUUUUUCAUAAUAAUGCAUGAAUGGAUAUAUAUUAUGCUUUGAUGACCCUUAGUCCCUAAAUUUAGUUCUGCGACUACAAUUAAAAGUGAUUUUGCAUUAUGAACUUAAUGACCUUUGUCCCUAAUGUUUCAUAAGUUUUGUAAGGGAUGAAUGAAAUGACCUUUGAGGAAAAAACAUUAUGAAUGCUUUCUUGAUGUCCAAAAAUACUGGAUAAAUUACUUAAUGACUUUAGUCCCUGAAUGUGAAAAAGCUAGUUGUUGUCUUAAUUGCUACUCAAGCAAUUGUCCCUAUUGGUGUCCUCUUUUCUAU